Molecule: long non-coding RNA, 2191 nt
Filed under: Coffea arabica (coffee)
Lineage: Eukaryota; Viridiplantae; Streptophyta; Magnoliopsida; Gentianales; Rubiaceae
Description: long non-coding RNA (CARA_LNC007816)
Source: RNAcentral
UCACCUUGAUUCCAAGCUAUAACUAGUAGGAAAUCACUCUCUAAUCAAAAACCAAUUCAUAAGAAGUUACACAAGGAAGAAAGGUGGGCUGGAGUGGAGCUAUUUUGGGAGAAAGCAAGCUGUAUUUUUCUGUUCAUCUUGGGGAUUCAAGGUAUUCUUGGCAAGGAACUACUUUUUCCUUUUAAUCUUGCAUUUAAGUUGCUAUAUUACUUGAAUAUGGAAGUUUUAUGAAAGAUUUCAUGGGUUGUGAAGUUGGUGGAACUUUUCUAGCUUUGAUUCAUAUUUUCCAGCCAUGAGAUGAUUAUACCUAGCUUUGUUAUGGACUUGAGAGAGAUGAUAUGAAGAUUUCUAGCUUUAAUAUGACUUUUAGCUUCCAAAUAAGGAUUUUCCAGUUUUAGUUCUAAAUUUCCAGCUUAGGGUUUAACUUUCCAGCACUUAGUACUAAUUUUGCCCUGUUUUAAGAACCACACAGACCAACACAUUCGUCCAUAUUAGAGGCCAAAUCAGGCCUAGGUUAAAAAAUGAAAGUUGUAGGGAAUGGAGUUAGGAAGCGGCCUGUAAAAUUUAAGUUCAAUCGGAGCCAUGUAGCAUGUUAAAUGACAAAAUUACCCCUGACUGCCAAAUGCACUGUUUCGCGGACAGUUUUCUGUCUCCUUUGAGAUUGCACAUUUGACCUUGAAAAUGACCGAAUUGGAUGUUGAUGCCUUCAUAGGAAAUGUAGCCCUCUGUCUUAGCUUAGAAACAAUAUGAUGUUCACACCAAUCCGAUAAACAUAGCUCUAGUUGUGACCAAAAUACUAUAAGAUGUCGAAUCUGCCAUUUAGCCUUUUGUCUUCAAAACUUAAUUUGCGGUUGUAUUAGUAAACUUGUGCUGUACUUGGAUGAUUUUGGAGCCUAAUUGAAGAGCUAUGGUGGUAACAUUACUUGUGUGUGAUUUUGGGGCUGAAUUAAGAAAAAUAAUGAAGCCAUAAAUGACUGAAAAAUAGGUAAAUACAAAGGGCAUGCUGCCCAAAUUUUCACUCGAGGGUUAGGUAGAUAUACUCGCGACUUGAGUAAGAAUUUGAGGAUGAAUCUAACUCAAAUUGUCUAGGUUAUUCGAGUCCUUUUUUUGUAGAGGUAUAUAAGCUAGAGUUCGCCUGAAACUUGUACCCUUGGAAAAAAUAAAAGUAACGACUAAUAGAAAUACGUUUUCCUCGUCACUUCGAUUCAAAUGUAGAUUUCAAAGUUUUAAGAGCGAGCAUGAGUUUUACAAAUAUUUUAUUCAUGUCCUUUGGUCUAAAUGUACUCUUUUCACUCCAAAAAUCAUCUUUAUACAUUGUACUAGUAGUUAUUCGGAUUUUCUUUGAUUCACGUAAACUUUGGAUGGUUGAACCGUAAUAUUUUCUCUUGGUUAUUCUUAGGGUCCCUUGGUGAUUGAGGGUAUUAUCUGAAAGGAUACUUUGGACGUUAUUUUGCUUAAAUGGGUGAGUGUUCUUUGUACGUUAUGCUUUCAUCGACUAUGUGGCUUGUUGUGGAUGUUUGAUUAAAUGUUAAAUGUUUUCAAUGAUUGCUAAAAAUGAAUUUUGCUAGGCGAGUGUGUACUUUAUCGCAUUCGAUCUAAAUGAAUCCAAAAUUUUCUAUGAUUAAAUGAUUAUAUGCUAAUUGUGCAUGAAUAUAAGCCUUUUGGCUGAACUGGGCCUCUGCCCUUCGUUGCUAGUCGAUUCGAGCCAGAAGCGGACUCGGUCGGGCGAUUGGUGACCCUGGGUGAAUGUUUGGUAUACUCGAGUAUUACCACGAAAUCUGGUAGAGAAUGGCCAGUAAAUUGGCUAGUAGGGGAGAUGGAAUGAAUGAACGAAUGGCAAUAUCAAUGGAGGGAUUUUCACUUACAAAAUACAUUUUGUUUAUAUUGGAGGAAUAAGGAAAUGGUUGGUGAAUGAAGGAACAAAUGGCUCCACGUGAGCAUGUAUCCUUUUAAUAAAUGUGCUAUUAUUGCUUUUAUAUUGUAAAUAUUUUCUGGAUUAUUUGUUAUUCAAUGAUUAAUGUCUUGGACUUAAUUAUGUGAUUAUGUGUAUAGAACCUCACUGGGCUUUUCACUCAUUCCGUUAGUUUUGUUUUCCUUACAGGGGAUGCGAGCGAGGGCGUGAGACCUGUACAGAUUAGUACGGUCUAGUUCUUUUGAAUUUUUGCGAUUUUACUCGUGCUAGCGCUUGGAU